This 254-nucleotide ribosomal RNA is filed under the name uncultured bacterium. RNAcentral describes it as "partial 16S ribosomal RNA". It matches the Rfam family "Bacterial small subunit ribosomal RNA", at positions 524 to 776 of the family's 1533-position model. The record is from RNAcentral.
UACGGAGGGUGCAAGCGUUAUCCGGAUUCACUGGGUUUAAAGGGUGCGUAGGUGGGAAUGUAAGUCAGUGGUGAAAUCUCCGUGCUUAACAUGGAAACUGCCAUUGAUACUAUGUUUCUUGAAUUUUCUGGAGGUCAGCGGAAUAUGUCAUGUAGCGGUGAAAUGCUUAGAUAUGACAUAGAACACCAAUUGCGAAGGCAGCUGACUACAGGGAUAUUGACACUGAGGCACGAAAGCGUGGGGAGUCAAACAGG